This is a long non-coding RNA of Helianthus annuus (common sunflower), 2433 nucleotides long. RefSeq lists it as uncharacterized. The record is from RefSeq and is a predicted model, not a curated record. NCBI's taxonomy places the organism in Eukaryota, Viridiplantae, Streptophyta, Magnoliopsida, Asterales, Asteraceae. The transcript is spliced from 2 exons.
UACCCCUAAAUUCUUUGAUUUCCCUCUCAGUUUUUCCCCAAAUCUGAACUCCCCGCUAUUAUCCCUAAAAUUUUCAUCUAAACUUUUUUUAUUCUCAAAUCUUUUCACACACAACUACCACUAGGGUUCCACAGAGUAGAACCCAAAGAAAACAAAGAAGAAUGAGAGAAUCCUAGAGCAUUCUCAUUCCAAACGACUUGAUCCUUCUUCCUCGAAGAUAAAUGGAGUUCACUUCCAGCCACCGUGUGCCGCGGUUGUCGUUUCAGACGAAAAAAAACAAAUGUAGAAACUAUAUGAUUUUCGAUGACCCGUCGAAACUUAUGUGGUUCCUUCCGUUUCGUUGAAUUGCUUUCUCUCUGAACGCACAAUAACCACUGGAGGUGACGAAUUAGAAGAUUAUUUGUUAUACCGAAAGACAAACGUGGAUCACUUAUAAAUAUAGUUCUGAUUCACUUCAUAACUAGGGGUCUUCAUUCAAGUUCGAUUUCAUAUGAUCCAAUGAUGUUGAUGAGGGAAUAUAGGUUCUGGAGAGGAAGGGUUGAAGAUGGAUAUGAAGACCAGGUUAAAAAAUCAUCCAACAAUAGAUUUUAGUAACUGUUUAUUAGAUGUUAGGACUUUAGAGUUAAACUUCAAUGAGCCAUAAGCCUAUAACCAUCGUGAAUACAACAAUAAGUUAUUAUUUUAUGACUUAGGGGGUGUUUGGGUUAGCUUAUUUUGAAGCAACUUAUGACUUAUUAACUUAUAAAAGUUAAUAAGUUGUUUCUUAAGUGUUUGGGUUAGCUUAUUUUAGAGGAUUUUGUGUGUGUGAGAAGUCAUUUUUGAGAAGUCAGAAUUUCUGACUUCUCACUUAUGACUUAUAUAAGUUAAUAAGUCGUUUUGAGAAGGAAUGCCAAACACCCACUUAAACUAUUUUGACAUUGUCUUUAUGUUGUGGAUAUGGACACUACAUAUCUUAUGACUUUGGGCUUAUGUAUGUAUGGGUAUUUUCCCAUAGCCAGAACCUUUGUUGGUUGUACACUUUUGGGAUGUGUUCCCACUGACACUUAAAAAUAAUAAUAAUAAAAAGAAACAGAAAAGGAGUAACACAAGCCCAUAAUUUGCAAUCAAGACAAGCAUUUGGGACUUUGGAGUUUGGACCGUAAGAAUAUCCGAAAAGGAGUAUCCCAGGCGAAGGGGAAAUCGUCAACUGUAAAGCCGCACGGUGAGACGAUAACACACAAAAAAUGGUGAUGGCGUGUGCAGUGGCGGGUACUGGUUUUUGAAUUUACAUUCAGUGAUUUUCGUGACCGGAAAUGCCAAAACGCUCGAAGAAGUUAAAGUUAUUUUAGGGCAAUCAAUCCCUUUUCGCAACCAAGUGUUAAACUCGACUGUAUGUAUAUUCUUCACUUAUAAUGCUCUAAUUUUCAUCCAACAACUUUUUAUUAUUAUUAUUAUUAUUAUUAUUAUUAUUAUUAUUAUUAUUAUUAUUAUUAUUAUUAUUACUUUCUUUUUAAUUUUUUUUAUGUUAUGGUUGAUUGAUCAGUAACGGUGUUGGAACAUCAAGGCGACCCAGAAGAUCGAGCUCGUUUAGCUACUAAUCAGGCCCACUAAUUACUCAAUACUCGUAUUCUAUAAUUUAUAUUAGUAAUUAUUAAAAGUUUUAGUUUUAAUGAUAUGGGAAUGUGUGUAGGUGAAAGGACGAGUGUUGGUUAAGUACACAUGUUUCUGUUUCAAUGCUCACAAGGGACUCCGUGGUAGAUUUAGUUCAUACAAUUGGAUAGAGAAGAGGAUUAGAGUUGAUAUGAAGAUCAAUUAACUAAUAUAGUAUGAUCUGUUGUUUUGUUUACAGGGUCUUACAUGUAACUCUCUAUUGUCUGCACUUGUUUGAUUGUUCUGGUUCUUAAGGUGAUGUUUUAUGACUUCCUGUCAAUGUCUUUUAUAAACACAUUACUCACAAGUUUAACUAUUUAUAAUUCAUUCAAACCUUGUUUAUAUAAAUUUUAUAUCUAAAAGUAAGUAUUGUGGUAUUUGAGUGCAAUUUGUCAAUAUAAAGUUGUUAAAGUUAUGUACUUUUACGUUUAAUUAAUAACAAAAGUUUUGUUUAAUAGCCUCGGUUAAGUCCUACCCCGUACCAUUCAAUAUUGUUUGUUAUGACAUUUGAAUUAAAGAUUACGUUAUAUACAUAUGCAUACUUGUAUAUACAUUUGAAGCUUCAUUUUCUUAAUGUAACUUUAUGUUUUAUUAGGCAACUUUUAUGGUUUCGGUUGCAAGUAUGAAUUGAAGACAUUGGUUUGGGUUGCAAGUAUGAAGGCAUCGUUCGGGAAGUUAUUGUAUAUCACUUUCAUCUUUAGAGAUACAUGUAUUUGUGUUACUUUGAAACUUUUAUAAUUUCGUGUUACUUUGAAACCUUUGUAAUUUAUAUUCUUGGGUUAUUUUAUAUUGGUUUUAAUUUAA